This 479-nucleotide ribosomal RNA is filed under the name uncultured bacterium. RNAcentral's name for it is "SSU rRNA". It matches the Rfam family "Bacterial small subunit ribosomal RNA", at positions 26 to 518 of the family's 1533-position model. The record is from RNAcentral.
AGGAUGAACGCUGGCGGCGUGCUUAACACAUGCAAGUCGAACGAUGAACCUCACUUGUGGGGGGAUUAGUGGCGAACGGGUGAGUAACACGUGAGUAACCUGCCCUUAACUCUGGGAUAAGCCUUGGAAACGGGGUCUAAUACCGGAUAUUUACGAUUGAUCGCAUGGUUGGUUGUGGAAAGAUUUAUUGGUUUUGGAUGGACUCGCGGCCUAUCAGCUUGUUGGUGAGGUAAUGGCUUACCAAGGCGACGACGGGUAGCCGGCCUGAGAGGGUGACCGGCCACACUGGGACUGAGACACGGCCCAGACUCCUACGGGAGGCAGCAGUGGGGAAUAUUGCACAAUGGGCGCAAGCCUGAUGCAGCGACGCCGCGUGAGGGAUGAAGGCCUUCGGGUUGUAAACCUCUUUCAGCAGGGACGAAGCGAGAGUGACGGUACCUGCAGAAGAAGGACCGGACCAACUACGUGCCAGCAGCCGC